Molecule: long non-coding RNA, 634 nt
Filed under: Physcomitrium patens
Lineage: Eukaryota; Viridiplantae; Streptophyta; Bryopsida; Funariales; Funariaceae
Description: long non-coding RNA (PPAT_LNC001652)
Source: RNAcentral
AUAUUUCAAUAUUUAUUAGUUUGAUUGAAGCAAAAAUUGGUGAAUGCAAUUUAAACUUAAAUAUCUAAAAAUUAGCUAAUUUUUAGAAUAAUUGAAUGAUUUAACAAGAAGAUUUAUUUUUUGAGAGAUUAACAUUCAAGUUGGAAAAGGAAGGUUUUGAGAGGUUUUGAGAUCUUUUCUUUUAAUUAUUUUAUUUUAUUUUUUUCAAAUUUUAUAUGAUUUAAAAAAAAAUUGGAAUAAAAUCCAAGUAAAAUUUUAAUCAAUAUCAAUGAUUCAACUAAUAUUUAUUUAAAUUUAAAAAUAGCUAUAGUAAUUGAUUAAGAUUUAUUUAAGAUUUUAUUAGGAUUGAUUUAAGAAUUGAUUAGCAUUUAAUUAGUAUUUAAGAUUUGAUCAAAAUUUGGUUAGAAUUGAUUUAGGAUUUUAUUAAGGUUUGGUCUAGGCUUUGGUUAGGAUUUAAAAUUUGAUUAGAAUUUGGUUAGAAUUUUAAUAAGAUUUGAUUAGAAUUUAAUUAAGAUAUUAUUCAGGUUUGGUUUAAGAUUUGAUUAGGAUUUAAUUUCGAAUUUGAUUAGAAUUUAAUUUAGGAUUUAAUUAAGAUGUAAUUAGGAUAUUUUUAGAAUUUAAUUAGAAAUUUAUC